UACGUAGGGGGCAAGCGUUGUCCAGAAUCAUUGGGCGUAAAGCGCGUGUAGGCGGCCCGGUAAGUCCGCUGUGAAAGUCCAGGGCUCAACCCUGGAAUGCCGGUGGAUACUGCCGGACUAGAGUUCGGAAGAGGCGAGUGGAAUUCCCGGUGUAGCGGUGAAAUGCGCAGAUAUCGGGAGGAACUCCAAUGGCGAAGGCAGCUCGCUGGGACGUUACUGACGCUGAGACGCGAAAGCGUGGGGAGCAAACAGG
This 253-nucleotide ribosomal RNA is filed under the name uncultured bacterium. RNAcentral's name for it is "partial 16S ribosomal RNA". It matches the Rfam family "Bacterial small subunit ribosomal RNA", at positions 524 to 776 of the family's 1533-position model. The record is from RNAcentral.